AUACGUAGGGUGCAAGCGUUAUCCGGAUUUAUUGGGUUUAAAGGGUGCGUAGGCUGACGUGUAAGUCAGAGGUGAAAUGUCCGGGCUCAACCUGGGAACUGCCUUUGAUACUGCAUGUCUGGAGUUCGGAUGCCGUGGGAGGAAUGGGCAGUGUAGCGGUGAAAUGCAUAGAUAUUGCCCAGAACACCGAUUGCGAAGGCAUCUCACGAAUCCGACACUGACGCUGAGGCACGAAAGCGUGGGGAUCAAACAGGAUUAGAUACCCUGGUAGUCCACGCAGUAAACGAUGAUAACUAACCGUCGGCGAUAGACAGUCGGUGGCCAAGCGAAAGCGAUAAGUUAUCCACCUGGGGAGUACGUUCGCAAGAAUGAAACUCAAAGGAAUUGACGGGG
This 393-nucleotide ribosomal RNA is filed under the name uncultured bacterium. RNAcentral describes it as "partial 16S ribosomal RNA". It matches the Rfam family "Bacterial small subunit ribosomal RNA", at positions 523 to 918 of the family's 1533-position model. The record is from RNAcentral.